This 371-nucleotide ribosomal RNA is filed under the name uncultured organism. RNAcentral describes it as "bacterial SSU rRNA". It matches the Rfam family "Bacterial small subunit ribosomal RNA", at positions 526 to 896 of the family's 1533-position model. The record is from RNAcentral.
CGUAGGUGGCAAGCGUUGUCCGGAUUUAUUGGGUUUAAAGGGUGCGUAGGUGGCCCUGUAAGUCAGUGGUGAAAUAUCUCAGCUUAACUGAGAGGGUGCCAUUGAUACUGCAGGGCUUGAGUACAGAUGAGGUAGGCGGAAUUGACGGUGUAGCGGUGAAAUGCAUAGAUAUCGUCAAGAACACCGAUAGCGAAGGCAGCUUACCAAGCUGUAACUGACACUGAGGCACGAAAGUGUGGGGAUCAAACAGGACCUAGAUACCCUGGUAGUCCACACUGUAAACGUUGAUGACUCGAUGUUGGUGAUACACAGCCAGCCGUCCAAGAGCAAUCGUUAAGUCAUACCACCUGGGGAGUACGCCGGCAACGGUG